This 460-nucleotide ribosomal RNA is filed under the name uncultured bacterium. Its description in RNAcentral is "partial 16S ribosomal RNA". It matches the Rfam family "Bacterial small subunit ribosomal RNA", at positions 338 to 795 of the family's 1533-position model. The record is from RNAcentral.
CCUACGGGAGGCAGCAGUGAGGAAUAUUGGUCAAUGGACGGAAGUCUGAACCAGCCAUGCCGCGUGCAGGAAGACGGCUCUAUGAGUUGUAAACUGCUUUUGUACAAGGGUAAACCUGAAUACGUGUAUUCAGCUGAAAGUACUGUACGAAUAAGGAUCGGCUAACUCCGUGCCAGCAGCCGCGGUAAUACGGAGGAUCCAAGCGUUAUCCGGAUUUACUGGGUGUAAAGGGCGUGCAGCCGGGAAGACAAGUCAGAUGUGAAAUCCCGCGGCUCAACCGCGGAACUGCAUUUGAAACUGUUUUUCUUGAGUACCGGAGAGGUCAUCGGAAUUCCUUGUGUAGCGGUGAAAUGCGUAGAUAUAUGGAGGAACACCAGUGGCGAAGGCGACGAUCUGGGCUGCAACUGACGCUCAGUCCCGAAAGCGUGGGGAGCAAAUAGGAUUAGAUACCCCGGUAGUC